GGGGAUUUAGCUCAGUGGUAGAGCGCUUGCCUAGCAAGCACAAGACCCUGGGUUCGGUCCCCAGUUCCG
This 69-nucleotide transfer RNA is filed under the name Rattus norvegicus (Norway rat). It matches the Rfam family "tRNA". From Rfam's summary of the family: Transfer RNA (tRNA) molecules are approximately 80 nucleotides in length. Their secondary structure includes four short double-helical elements and three loops (D, anti-codon, and T loops). Lineage: Eukaryota; Metazoa; Chordata; Mammalia; Rodentia; Muridae. The record is from Rfam by way of RNAcentral.